Malaclemys terrapin pileata is the source of this 360-nucleotide non-coding RNA. The record is from the annotation of a RefSeq genome assembly. NCBI's taxonomy places the organism in Eukaryota, Metazoa, Chordata, Testudines, Emydidae.
AUGUUCCUCCCCUGGGUGUCUGUUCUUACACUACUUCCGACUCUGGAAGGGGCUAAUGGAGAGUCAGUGACACAACCUGAUGACCGAGUGACUGUAUCCCAAGGGGAACCAGUGCUGCUAAAAUGCACCUAUGACACUUCCUAUCGUACUCCUACGCUCUGGUGGUACGAGCAGCACCCAAAUGAAGCCCCUCGCCUCUUGCUGACACAAUAUGAAGCGUCCGAUGAGGAGGUGAGAAGGAGCCGGCGGGGGUUCUCCGCCACACCCGACAAUCAGGGGAAGACCUUCCACCUGAAGAAAAGCUCCAGCGAACUGCGCGACUCCGCCGUCUAUUACUGCGCCAUUAUAAGCUUUACAGAG